This 1095-nucleotide long non-coding RNA is filed under the name Glycine max (soybean). RNAcentral describes it as "long non-coding RNA (GMAX_LNC001178)". Lineage: Eukaryota; Viridiplantae; Streptophyta; Magnoliopsida; Fabales; Fabaceae. The record is from RNAcentral.
GAUCUCAUGCUGCUUGAGGUUAUUCCCAUAACUUAGUAGUUAUGCUGGUAUUUUAGAAACAUGUGUUAAGUGCUAACGUUACAGUUGUAAAUUUUUAUCCCUUUCUGUCCUCUCUACCUGACAAUAAACUUGGGUCUUCGGUGACCCUCGUCUCCUUAUUCUUGUUAGUGGUUUGCUAUAUUGCAGCGAAUCUGCUACCCACUCGACCUCAAGAUAGAUAAAAAUAACCAACAGAAAGGGAAAAGAGAUUACAAAAUUAAACGAGGAAACAACCCAACUCACAUUUUAACAAGAGGAAUCAUUGGUCUAGCUACAAAAGAGAUUUAUUAACAUGAUGGUUGUUACACAAAUAAGGCGAAAGAUUUAGCUUAAAAAAACGAACGAGAGAUUACAAAAACCAGAACAACACAGCACAAUGCAAACAAGAUUCAAAAUAAACAGCAGAACUUGAACAUGCAAAUCCACAAGGGUACCACCACCAUCACCACCUUCAAUUCAACCUCAUACACACAUGCAUAUAUUCAUGCAUGCAUGACUAAUAAGUUCCUUGUGUGGCCUCAUUAAUUCUACCCUGAGCAUAACUUCCAUAAUCCUUUGCCCUCUCCUUCACAUCCCUUGCCUUAUCAGUAAGGUACCCUUUUGCAUAGUCAAGGGUGUCAGAACCCGCAGGCUGGUUCCCAGAAACGUAGUUGUAAAUCCAAGAUAAAGCAGCAAUGGCAGCCACACCACAGCCCCCAGAGAACAAAAAGCCAGAAGCAACCAGGAACAGCACAAACGCAGCAGGGACAAGGAUGGGGCUGAAGAUAACAAGAAGAGGGGUUGCAAUGAUCAAACCUAUGACAGUGCCUGUGAGGGUCAACCCAGACAGGAGUAAGAGUGUGAUGCCAAUAGUUGCAGCAGUUAUGAACUUCACGGUUUGGCGUGAAGGAGGGUUGUUAAUGCUGCUGUUGGUCUCAUAGGUGGUUCCAUAGGGUGCUCCAUAGGAGGUUCCAUAGGAGUAGGAUCCUCUUGGUUGAUCAGUAGAAAUGGUUGCCAUGGUUGGUAUUUUUUCUCUUGCUAAACCAAGUGUUGAUGAGAGUAUUGAGUGAGAGAGGU